UCCAGACUCCUACGGGAGGCAGCAGUGGGGAAUAUUGCACAAUGGGGGAAACCCUGAUGCAGCAACGCCGCGUGAGUGAGGAAGUAUUUCGGUAUGUAAAGCUCUAUCAGCAGGGAAUAGAAAAGAAGGAACCUGAAAAAGAAGCACCGGCUAACUACGUGCAAGCAGCCGCGGUAAUACGUAUGGUGCAAGCGUUAUCCGGAUUUACUGGGUGUAAAGGGAGCGUAGGCGGCGCGUUAAGUCUGAUGUGAAAUCCCGAGGCUCAACCACGGGAGUGCAUUGGAAACUGGCGGGCUGGAGUGCCGGAGAGGUAAGCGGAAUUCCUAGUGUAGCGGUGAAAUGCGUAGAUAUUAGGAGGAACACCAGUGGCGAAGGCGGCUUACUGGACGGCAACUGACGCUGAGGCUCGAAAGCGUGGGGAGCAAACAGGAUUAGAUACCCCGGUA
Molecule: ribosomal RNA, 446 nt
Filed under: uncultured bacterium
Lineage: Bacteria
Description: bacterial SSU rRNA
Rfam family: Bacterial small subunit ribosomal RNA
Source: RNAcentral